This 882-nucleotide ribosomal RNA is filed under the name Bacillus subtilis. Its description in RNAcentral is "bacterial SSU rRNA". It matches the Rfam family "Bacterial small subunit ribosomal RNA", at positions 20 to 881 of the family's 1533-position model. Lineage: Bacteria; Bacillati; Bacillota; Bacilli; Caryophanales; Bacillaceae. The record is from RNAcentral.
CUGCUCAGGACGAACGCUGGCGGCGUGCCUAAUACAUGCAAGUCGAGCGGACAGAUGGGAGCUUGCUCCCUGAUGUUAGCGGCGGACGGGUGAGUAACACGUGGGUAACCUGCCUGUAAGACUGGGAUAACUCCGGGAAACCGGGGCUAAUACCGGAUGGUUGUUUGAACCGCAUGGUUCAAACAUAAAAGGUGGCUUCGGCUACCACUUACAGAUGGACCCGCGGCGCAUUAGCUAGUUGGUGAGGUAACGGCUCACCAAGGCAACGAUGCGUAGCCGACCUGAGAGGGUGAUCGGCCACACUGGGACUGAGACACGGCCCAGACUCCUACGGGAGGCAGCAGUAGGGAAUCUUCCGCAAUGGACGAAAGUCUGACGGAGCAACGCCGCGUGAGUGAUGAAGGUUUUCGGAUCGUAAAGCUCUGUUGUUAGGGAAGAACAAGUACCGUUCGAAUAGGGCGGUACCUUGACGGUACCUAACCAGAAAGCCACGGCUAACUACGUGCCAGCAGCCGCGGUAAUACGUAGGUGGCAAGCGUUGUCCGGAAUUAUUGGGCGUAAAGGGCUCGCAGGCGGUUUCUUAAGUCUGAUGUGAAAGCCCCCGGCUCAACCGGGGAGGGUCAUUGGAAACUGGGGAACUUGAGUGCAGAAGAGGAGAGUGGAAUUCCACGUGUAGCGGUGAAAUGCGUAGAGAUGUGGAGGAACACCAGUGGCGAAGGCGACUCUCUGGUCUGUAACUGACGCUGAGGAGCGAAAGCGUGGGGAGCGAACAGGAUUAGAUACCCUGGUAGUCCACGCCGUAAACGAUGAGUGCUAAGUGUUAGGGGGUUUCCGCCUCCUUAGUGCUGCAGCUAACGCAUUAAGCACUCCGCCCUGGGGAGU